This is a long non-coding RNA of Nelumbo nucifera (sacred lotus), 3027 nucleotides long. RefSeq lists it as uncharacterized. The record is from RefSeq and is a predicted model, not a curated record. Lineage: Eukaryota; Viridiplantae; Streptophyta; Magnoliopsida; Proteales; Nelumbonaceae.
UAUUGAAAGACGAGAGACAUUUUUGGAAGACUGCAGGCCUAUUUAUUUUCCACUCACAGGGCGCACGCACACCCUUCGAUUCGAACCUCUGAUCUUUAAAUAUGACUAAUGAGUCAUUUCAGAUCCGCCAUUCCUGUUCCAAGCUCGGAGGCGGAGCUCUCAGGGCAUUCUGAUUUCUGAGAGAAAACCGGAGCUGAGAGUAGAGAGAUCGCGCUUAUAGAUCGACAAGUCGUUGCCUAAACUUCCAUAUCUAGAUUUUAUUCCAUUUUCCAGCCUUCUGAUCUUUGUUUCGGUGUUUUCUAGUCCAUAGUUCUGUUAAAGUUAUGAAGGUUUCAUCUGCUUUGGCUAUCAUCUACUGGGGUUUCUGGUUCUUCACAUAUUUUGAUGAGGUUUUGUUCUCGAUCUGUGCUUUCAAGUACUAUAGGUGAAGAUCUAGUUUCGGUUCUUCUGCUUGAGGGCUGUAGACCUGUAGUUUGAAUCUGGGGUCAAGAUCUGCUCCAGCUGUGACAGUUGUGGAUAAAUAGUAUCUCUUGUGUGCAGGAGCUUUCCUGCGAUUUGAACUGAAAAUAGGACAAACUUUCGUGGUUUUGACCGAUCUUCGGGGUUCGAAGACCUCGCUUUAACCUAUCUAUGCUGUAGCAGGCAAGAUUGGUCACAGAGCUAUUAGAGGUUUUUAGUACAGGGAAGGUCACGCAGAUCGUAAAAGAGAACCUAAACUAGUCCGCUGUGAUUUCUUAUACUUGCAAAUGGAGACUCUUGUUAUUGUCUCUCAGCAUCGGAAUCAAUAUUACAGCAGAAGCAACUCUACUGUUUCCGAUACAUUUUCUUCCCCUUCCAGAGGCUUCAGGGAGAUCAAUUGCAGAACCUUUCAAUCUGGAGCAGGUAUUCUUCCGACUCCUUCAAAGUUUUUUAAUAGUCCUUCUGCAAUUAGAAGGACUUGUUCUUCCCCGCGAACGCCACAAUCUUUGAGUCCUCAAUUUGAAGAUGAGAAGCCAUUGAAGAAUACUGGAAAAAGCAGCGCAAUUCCUAUAAAUCUCAAUGUUUCCAACAAGGGCUGGUCUUACAACGAUGACCUUUCUUGCUCUGAGCUCUGGGCUGGACCUGCAUAUUCGAACUCACCUCCCCCGAGUUCUUUGCCCAUCCCCAAAUUUAGCCUUCGUCAGAAGCGAAGUGUGUCUCUUGAUCUGCCUACAUCAACCUCUGCGGUGAUUACAAUGCACCCUAUUGCUAAAUCUGCUCCGCCUUCACCCACAAGGGAACUGUGUCCCUCUAAAAGGGACUUCUUUCUCACCACUGACUCUGCAACUAAUCCAACUCCAAGGGAUUUCUUUCUCAACAUUGACUCUGCAACUAAGAACCUGCGCCGUAUUCUCCAUCUGGAUAUUGAUGAUGAAUGAGAAUGUGGAGGGUCCUGAAUCCUGUGAAUAAUUUCCAUGUGCAACAUGGGUUACCGGUAGCUUGUAUAUAAGUAGUGAAUAAUAUGGUCUGUAGGUUUAGCCUUUGCAUCAUUACAGCUUUCUUUGUUUCUUUGUUGGUGGUACAAGAACAGCGACAUACAGCAAUAUUCUGACUAUACUGCAAGUAUAGAUGGUAAGAAAUGGAUAACAUGGGUUUUCUGAUGGACGGCUUUCGGGAAGGAGAAGAGAACUAGUGCUGUGUGCUGAAAAAAACGGAUAGCAUGGGUUUUCGGGAAGGAGAAGGGGACUGAUGCUGAAAAAAAUUGAUAUUUGAUCUGCUCACUUGCACAUCUGCCUGUCUCUGCAGUGUUCUUGGCGUUCUCUUAUCAAUGGGUAAUGAUGGAAACUGUCUUUCAGCGGUCAAAAGUUAUGAUAUGGUUAUGGAGAAGCACACUUUCUAUCAUAAUCGUGGAUAAAAGUUUCUUUCUUGAGUAGGUUAGGCAUAUCUAAUUCUAUGUAGUGUGUAAAUAACUAACCAGUUUAGGUCUUUCAUCUGGUUAGGUUAAUCAUCAUUCAGGUUCUGUAUCAUGGUUUGGUCUCUAUAGCAUCUUUAUCCCCUUUAGGUUCUUAAUCCUGUACUAUUUGAAUUCUACUUAAUCCAAAGCUUACAUGGUAGAUGUUUCUAUAGUUAGCCCGAGUUGGCUGAUUAGAUGGUAGAUUUGCAUUGCCUUCUGUUUAAUCUUUUUCCUUCUACUUGGUCCAACUAUGCCUGAAUUGGCUGGUUAGGUGGUAGGCUUGCACUUGUUAGUAUCUGGUCUCUGACAUUACGUCAAUUGGCUGCUUAGUUGUUCUUCAUGUGUUGUCAUCUGUAUCUUUACCUUUUCCUUUUCCUUCUAAACUCUUAUUCCUUUCUGAAUUCUUCAAAAUGGUCUUGGCUUCCUCUACACCCCCCUUUUUCAGGUUUUUUAAGGGAAAGGUGGGAAGGGGAAUUGGAAGACUAUACUCUAUUACUUGGUUUAUCCUCAUCUUUUGCAUUAAAGUGUCUAGGCUCCCUGUGUUUCGUCUUAUUGUCCUGUUGUAAUCCCUGCUAGUUGUCUGCUUCUGUUAGCUGGUGUCACCAUUUGUCUUUUAAUACUUGGAAGGUGGCAUAUCAAUCUCUGGAGAUUACUGGGUUCAAUGCUAUAUAUAAGUGCUGAUCCAUGGAACUAAAUGAGCUGCCAAUCUUUGUUCUGGAAGGCUUGUGAUUGGAGAGCUAAAUGAGUUUGUAAGAAAGACUUGUGAGUUACUUGGGCCUAGCCAUUUCCUUUCAUGUUUUAGGUGGAAAUUCCCAUGAAGUGAUCUUGGAGUUGAGGACUCCUUGAGCUGAUUGUGGAGUUAAUAACAUAAUAUCUAGUUAUUGUUGUAUUAGGGUUGAUGUAGUUUGUUACUUUGUAUGGUUGAUAUUUUCGCUGCAGUCUAGUCUGCAAUGUUGUGUUUCUUGGGUCUUCAGAAGUUUGUUUGCAAAAAUCUUGUGUUGCUCUUGUCUGUUUCUGUUUGCUUCUGUCACAACUCACAAACAAGUUAUUGGAAUAGUUCCUAAUUUUUCUUGCAUCAUAUAGUGGGGGUGCUACGAUCUCUCACCCUUAAACAA